This 241-nucleotide ribosomal RNA is filed under the name uncultured Staphylococcus sp. RNAcentral's name for it is "partial 16S ribosomal RNA". It matches the Rfam family "Bacterial small subunit ribosomal RNA", at positions 99 to 334 of the family's 1533-position model. Lineage: Bacteria; Bacillati; Bacillota; Bacilli; Caryophanales; Staphylococcaceae. The record is from RNAcentral.
CGGACGGGUGAGUAACACGUGGAUAACCUACCUAUAAGACUGGGAUAACUUCGGGAAACCGGAGCUAAUACCGGAUAAUAUUUUGAACCGCAUGGUUCAAAAGUGAAAGACGGUCUUGCUGUCACUUAUAGAUGGAUCCGCGCUGCAUUAGCUAGUUAGUAAGGUAACGGCUUACCAAGGCAACGAUGCAUAGCCGACCUGAGAGGGUGAUCGGCCACACUGGAACUGAGACACGGUCCAG